UGGGGAAUUUUGGACAAUGGGCGCAAGCCUGAUCCAGCAAUGCCGCGUGCAGGAUGAAGGCCUUCGGGUUGUAAACUGCUUUUGUACGGAGCGAAAAGGUCUGCCCUAAUACGGUGGGCUAAUGACGGUACCUGAAGAAUAAGCACCGGCUAACUACGUGCCAGCAGCCGCGGUAAUACGUAGGGUGCAAGCGUUAAUCGGAAUUACUGGGCGUAAAGCGUGCGCAGGCGGUUAUGCAAGACAGAGGUGAAAUCCCCGGGCUCAACCUGGGACCUGCAUUUGUGACUGUAUAGCUAGAGUACGGUAGAGGGGGAUGGAAUUCCGCGUGUAGCAGUGAAAUGCGUAGAUAUGCGGAGGAACACCGAUGGCGAAGGCAAUCCCCUGGGCCUGCACUGACGCUCAUGCACGAAAGCGUGGGGAGCAGACA
Molecule: ribosomal RNA, 427 nt
Filed under: uncultured bacterium
Lineage: Bacteria
Description: bacterial SSU rRNA
Rfam family: Bacterial small subunit ribosomal RNA
Source: RNAcentral